RNAcentral lists this ribosomal RNA (761 nucleotides) under uncultured bacterium. RNAcentral describes it as "bacterial SSU rRNA". It matches the Rfam family "Bacterial small subunit ribosomal RNA", at positions 8 to 796 of the family's 1533-position model. The record is from RNAcentral.
AGAGUUUGAUCAUGGCUCAGGGUAAACGCUGGCGGCGUGCCUAAAACAUGCAAGUCGCACGGACCCCUAUCAAGGGGUCAGUGGCAGACGGCUGAGUAACGCGUGGGUGACGUACCUAUCGGUGGGGAAUAACUGCCCGAAAGGGUGGCUAAUACCGCAUACGCCUGUUGCUUCGUGGCAAUAGGGAAAGCCGCAAGGCGUCGAUGGAGCGGCCCGCGUCCGAUUAGCCAGUUGGUGGGGUAACGGCCUACCAAAGCGACGAUCGGUAGCUGGUCUCAGAGGAUGAUCAGCCAGACUGGGACUGAGACACGGCCCAGACUCCUACGGGAGGCAGCAGUUAGGAAUUUUGGGCAAUGGGCGCAAGCCUGACCCAGCAACGCCGCGUGGGUGACGAAGGCCUUCGGGUUGUAAAGCCCUUUUCUCAGGGAAGAUGAUGACGGUACCUGAGGAAGAAGCACCGGCUAACUACGUGCCAGCAGCCGCGGUAAUACGUAGGGUGCAAGCGUUGCCCGGAUUUAUUGGGCGUAAAGGGCGCGUAGGCGGCUCGGCACGUCCGUUGUGAAAUCGCCCGGCUCAACUGGGCGGGGUCAGCGGAUACGGCCGAGCUUGAGCAAGCUAGGGGGCAAUGGAAUUCCCGGUGUAGUGGUGGAAUGCGUAGAUAUCGGGAGGAACACCAGUGGCGAAGGCGGUUGCCUGGGGCUUUGCUGACGCUGAUGCGCGAAAGCGUGGGGAGCGAUCCGGAUUAGAUACCCUAGUAGUCC